AGUAAGUUAUUGCCAGGGUUUUUAUUUUGUAAUUUAAACCUUAAAUUUAUUUUUUAUAUUUUUUUAAUGUUCAUGUUUUUGAAUGUUUUAUUCAAAUAAUGUAAAAAAUAAAAUAGAUAUUGACAUGGAUUGAACAAAAGAUAUAUAUUAUUUUAUGUUGCAUAAACAAAUUGGCAAAAUAGAGAUGGAAGAUAAAAAUAUGGUCAAAGUAAUAAGAGU
This 219-nucleotide unclassified non-coding RNA is filed under the name Borreliella valaisiana. RNAcentral's name for it is "5S-23S ribosomal RNA intergenic spacer". Lineage: Bacteria; Pseudomonadati; Spirochaetota; Spirochaetia; Spirochaetales; Borreliaceae. The record is from RNAcentral.